GUGGUUGUGGCUCAGUGGCAGAGCGCUUGCCUAGCAUGCAAGAGGCACUGGGUUCAAUCCUCAAUGCCACA
Molecule: transfer RNA, 71 nt
Filed under: Marmota marmota marmota (Alpine marmot)
Lineage: Eukaryota; Metazoa; Chordata; Mammalia; Rodentia; Sciuridae
Also listed under: 1 other name
Rfam family: tRNA
About the family: Transfer RNA (tRNA) molecules are approximately 80 nucleotides in length. Their secondary structure includes four short double-helical elements and three loops (D, anti-codon, and T loops). Further hydrogen bonds mediate the characteristic L-shaped molecular structure. tRNAs have two regions of fundamental functional importance: the anti-codon, which is responsible for specific mRNA codon recognition, and the 3' end, to which the tRNAs corresponding amino acid is attached (by aminoacyl-tRNA synthetases). tRNAs cope with the degeneracy of the genetic code in two manners: having more than one tRNA (with a specific anti-codon) for a particular amino acid; and 'wobble' base-pairing, i.e. permitting non-standard base-pairing at the 3rd anti-codon position.
Source: Rfam by way of RNAcentral